This 465-nucleotide ribosomal RNA is filed under the name Vreelandella stevensii. RNAcentral's name for it is "partial 16S ribosomal RNA". It matches the Rfam family "Bacterial small subunit ribosomal RNA", at positions 338 to 795 of the family's 1533-position model. Lineage: Bacteria; Pseudomonadati; Pseudomonadota; Gammaproteobacteria; Oceanospirillales; Halomonadaceae. The record is from RNAcentral.
CCUACGGGCGGCAGCAGUGGGGAAUAUUGGACAAUGGGCGAAAGCCUGAUCCAGCCAUGCCGCGUGUGUGAAGAAGGCCUUCGGGUUGUAAAGCACUUUCAGUGGGGAAGAAAGCCUUGGGGCUAAUACCCUCGAGGAAGGACAUCACCCACAGAAGAAGCACCGGCUAACUCCGUGCCAGCAGCCGCGGUAAUACGGAGGGUGCGAGCGUUAAUCGGAAUUACUGGGCGUAAAGCGCGCGUAGGCGGUCUGUUAAGCCGGUUGUGAAAGCCCCGGGCUCAACCUGGGAACGGCAUCCGGAACUGUCAGGCUAGAGUGCAGGAGAGGAAGGUAGAAUUCCCGGUGUAGCGGUGAAAUGCGUAGAGAUCGGGAGGAAUACCAGUGGCGAAGGCGGCCUUCUGGACUGACACUGACGCUGAGGUGCGAAAGCGUGGGUAGCAAACAGGAUUAGAUACCCUAGUAGUC